This 301-nucleotide unclassified non-coding RNA is filed under the name Hevea brasiliensis (rubber tree). The record is from RNAcentral. Lineage: Eukaryota; Viridiplantae; Streptophyta; Magnoliopsida; Malpighiales; Euphorbiaceae.
GGAUCCUUACAGUCUAAACAACUAGAAAGCUCCUCAACUUCAAGCAGAACUUGAAAUGGUAUAUGCCAAAAUUUUCUUCUAGGGUGCUAAACUAAGGGUAGCGAAGAGAAACUACUAUCCACAAAAUUUUUAAAAUUCUACUGUCUUGAGUACAAUUAUUUGAAGCCCUUUCAUAUUAAAGACCCCAAACAAAUUACAUAGAUUAGGGAAAACUUCAAGAUAGACGGUUAGACAAGAAAAUGAAUCACCUUCACCUUCAGAGAACAUAAAUAAACAAAAUAAAACCAUGGCACUUGCAAAG